CACUGCGGACAGCAACCGCCAUCCAGGGCGGUGAUUGGCCAACGAGGUGGAAGAGGGCGUGUUCAGAACGUAAUGCGGCACUCCUAUUGGCUCAAAUCCGUGAGCGUGGUCACUGCCGUGUGGAUAUGCGGGGAAUGUUGACUCGCACUCAAUGAAGAUUACAACACACUUUAGAAACAAUCUGAAGAAACGAGCGUCUGUGCUGACUCUAGCUUGUGCUGGUGAUUGCUCAGGAGUGAACGAGUGUUUAAGUAUGCACUAGAAAGCCAUGUUACUGUAGAGGCGCUCGGUGUGCAGAAGAUUCACAGCUCUUAAGAACAAGUAGCCGUCAUUCAUUUCUCAAUGGCUGAAAACAACUUUCCUCCUCUGCCUGGCUUUAUUCCUCUGAAGCCGUGCUUCCACCAGGACUUCGAGGAGAUUCCUGACCAGCACCGCACCAUGUGCAAGAGACUCUACCAUCUGUGGAUCUGUGAGUCUGGAAAACACACCAAACUAACCUGCAAAUAACACUGAGGU
Long non-coding RNA from Sinocyclocheilus anshuiensis, 516 nucleotides. RefSeq lists it as uncharacterized. The transcript has 3 exons. The record is from RefSeq and is a predicted model, not a curated record. NCBI's taxonomy places the organism in Eukaryota, Metazoa, Chordata, Actinopteri, Cypriniformes, Cyprinidae.